GCCGCGAUAGCUCAGCUGGCAGAGCAUCUGCCGGGUAAGCGGAUUAUUGCUGGUUCGAUUCCGGCUCGCAGCA
RNAcentral lists this transfer RNA (73 nucleotides) under Fasciola gigantica. It matches the Rfam family "tRNA". Rfam says of the family: Transfer RNA (tRNA) molecules are approximately 80 nucleotides in length. Their secondary structure includes four short double-helical elements and three loops (D, anti-codon, and T loops). The record is from Rfam by way of RNAcentral. Lineage: Eukaryota; Metazoa; Platyhelminthes; Trematoda; Plagiorchiida; Fasciolidae.